Molecule: ribosomal RNA, 511 nt
Filed under: uncultured Candida
Lineage: Eukaryota; Fungi; Ascomycota; Saccharomycetes; Saccharomycetales
Description: eukaryotic LSU rRNA
Rfam family: Eukaryotic large subunit ribosomal RNA
Source: RNAcentral
AAACCAACAGGGAUUGCCUCAGUAACGGCGAGUGAAGCGGCAAAAGCUCAAAUUUGAAAUCUAACACUUUCAGUGUUCGAGUUGUAAUUUGAAGAAAGUUUCUCUGAGUAGUCCUUUAUCUAUGUUCCUUGGAACAGGACGUCAUAGAGGGUGAGAAUCCCGUAUGAUUUUGGAUACUAUUCUUUGUGAGAUUCUUUCGAAGAGUCGAGUUGUUUGGGAAUGCAGCUCUAAGUGGGUGGUAAAUUCCAUCUAAAGCUAAAUAUUGGCGAGAGACCGAUAGCGAACAAGUACAGUGAUGGAAAGAUGAAAAGAACUCUGAAGAGAGAGUGAAAAAGUACGUGAAAUUGCUGAAAGGGAAGGGCUUUAGGUCAGACUUGGUGUUUAAAUGAUUAUCUUCUCUUUUUGAGUUGUGCACUCGUUUUUCACUGGGCCAAUAUCAGUUUUUGUGGUAGAGCACCUACUGGAAUGUAGCUUUUCUUCGGAUGAGUGUUAUAGCCUUUAGACGUAUCUU